AGAACGACUCUCGGCAACGGAUAUCUCGGCUCUCGCAUCGAUGAAGAACGUAACAAAAUGCGAUACUUGGUGUGAAUUGCAGAAUCCCGUGAACCAUCGAGUUUUUGAACGCAAGUUGCGCCCGAKGCCAAUAGGUUGAGGGCACGUCUGCCUGGGCGUCUCGC
This 164-nucleotide ribosomal RNA is filed under the name Impatiens calcicola. Its description in RNAcentral is "5.8S ribosomal RNA". It matches the Rfam family "5.8S ribosomal RNA". From Rfam's summary of the family: 5.8S ribosomal RNA (5.8S rRNA) is a component of the large subunit of the eukaryotic ribosome. It is transcribed by RNA polymerase I as part of the 45S precursor that also contains 18S and 28S rRNA. Lineage: Eukaryota; Viridiplantae; Streptophyta; Magnoliopsida; Ericales; Balsaminaceae. The record is from RNAcentral.